UACUAGUUUACUUGAUAUAAAUCAGCUGCAAUAUCAGUUUCGAGCCAAACAAGAUGAGGGGUAUACAGAUACUGUUGUUUAUUACCCUUGUGAUGUCAUCGAUAUCAGAUCCAGGUGAUGAACACACUUGCGCUAGUCAUGGAGGACAAUGCGUGUGGAGUCUACCCUGUCCUCAAUCUUAUCAAUAUGAUCAAUAUCACUUGUGUCCUGAUAGACACUACUGUUGUCUUCCUUGAUGUCAUUGGUUAAUACUUGAAUGAAGAAAGUUAUAGUAUAAACGACGAGGAUAUGUUAUUGUUUUUGACAAAUAAAAUUAAAAACAAUAAAAUUUA
Long non-coding RNA from Mytilus trossulus (common blue mussel), 332 nucleotides. RefSeq lists it as uncharacterized. NCBI's taxonomy places the organism in Eukaryota, Metazoa, Mollusca, Bivalvia, Mytilida, Mytilidae. The record is from RefSeq and is a predicted model, not a curated record. The transcript is spliced from 3 exons.